Molecule: small RNA, 27 nt
Filed under: Bombyx mori (domestic silkworm)
Lineage: Eukaryota; Metazoa; Arthropoda; Insecta; Lepidoptera; Bombycidae
Description: ovarian small RNA-6939
Source: RNAcentral
UCACUUCCGCCAUUUUGACGGGCCGCG